RNAcentral lists this ribosomal RNA (497 nucleotides) under uncultured bacterium. RNAcentral's name for it is "partial 16S ribosomal RNA". It matches the Rfam family "Bacterial small subunit ribosomal RNA", at positions 28 to 507 of the family's 1533-position model. The record is from RNAcentral.
GACGAACGCUGGCGGCGUGCCUAAUACAUGCAAGUCGAGCGAACAGACGAGGAGCUUGCUCCCCUGACGUUAGCGGCGGACGGGUGAGUAACACGUGGAUAACCUACUUAUAAGACUGGGAUAACUUCGGGAAACCGGAGCUAAUACCGGAUAAUAUAUUGAACUGAAUGGUUCAAUAGUGAAUGACGGUUUUGCUGUCUCAUAUAGAUGGAACCGCGCCGCAUUAGCGAGUUGGUAAAGUAACGGCUUACCAAGGGACCGAUCCGUGGCCGAACUGAGAGGAGGAUCGGCCACCCUGGAACUGAACCACGCUCCAGCCUCCUCCGGGAGGCAGCAGAGGGGAAUCUUCCGCAAUGGGCGAAAGCCUGGCGGAGCAACGCCGCGUAAGUGAUAAAGUUCUUCGGUUCGUAAGCCUCUGUUAUUAGGGAGGAACAAAUGUAUAAGUAACAAUGCACGUCUUGACGGUACCUGAUCAGAAAGCCACGGCUAACUACGUG